AAUUAUAUCACAUUAUUAAUUGAUAGGUUAAUUAAUAUAUAGUAUUAUUCUAAUACUAAAUAGGAAUUUGCUAAACUCCGAAAAGCAUAAUAAUACCCUACAAGUGUUUUUGUGCUGUGCUGUGCUGUUUUUAUGGUGGAGAGAGAAAGCUGUGCAUGUGCUAUUGGCGUCGCAAUUCCCUUCCCACCAUCUAAUUUGUUUCAUUUUUGCGUGCAGUGAUCCCUCUCUGCUUCUCUGAUCUCUCUCUCUCUCUCUCUCUCUCUUUAUAUUUUAUUUUAUUUUAUUUUUAUUUUUUAAAUCUGUGGUAGGUAGGUAUGGUAAUCUAUCUGUUCUGGGUUGAUGAUCCUUUUUUCAGAAUAUAUUUUGGGUCUGUUUGUUUGGUUUUUGCUAAUCGUUUUGUGAGUGAGAAAGAGUCCUGGGAGUUCUCAAAGCCAUCAAUAGUUUGAUAUUGUAAACAAUUAGUAAGAUUGUUAAUCAUAGCUUGUUUAAUUUAAUGGAUACCCUGAAUCCUAUGGUCAUAUCAUAUGUACAUAACAUACAUCUAUGUACCAGUUGCCAAUUAAGGUUUCAGAUUUCAAUUAAGGUUGUUGGUUCUUCUUCAAGAUCAACGCCAAGUUGCCAAAAAUUCUAUAAAAAAAUGCAAGUCUUUUUGUUUUUGAGGAAGAGGACACUUUCUCAUCACCAAGAAUCUGAUUUGGUGGGUACAGGAGGAGGCAGCUUCUUUCUUAGACCAUUCAUGCAAAAAUGAAGCGAAUUAGUAGUUGGUACGCGCAUUACUACCAGCACAACACAACAUUCAAAGCAAGCAGAAGCAAGAUGUGAGGGCAUAAUGCAGCAAGCUUGGGUCCACAUACAGACUGGCCUAACUGGCCUUCAUUUGUAUUGUGGAGGUAAAUUUGCCUUAAACUUUGUGGAUACCAAUACAGAUAAAUGGAGGGGCAAAUAUUGUCCUAUGGAAAGUGACCUAGUCCACACCUUGAGGCAUUCACUUAAAAUCCACUAAGCUCUCUUCUCACCACUUUCUCGACUUUGUUCCAAAGAGAGGUACAUGGCAUAGUUUAGGAACCGGAUAUGAUUACGCAAAAGAACAUGGGAAUUAGUCAAUUGAGUUUGGAAAUUUUGAAACUCGUCAUGGUUCCCCAUUGAGGUUAUUCAUUCCUUAUGUCAGAUUGUGAAGCAUAAUUGGAACCAUUACUGCAAUGAAAAACCCCCUCUCCCACAGAAAAGCUAACCAUAACUCUGAUUGCUUACUUUGAAUUUAAAGGAUAAGUCAGUGUCCUGAGUAUCUUUAGUGGCACUUUCAGCAGAGCUCUGGACUCACCAAGUUUUUUCUAGCUAGGUGUCCAAUUUUGUUUUGUACUAAAGGACAACAAUUUGCCUCUUCUUUGCAGGAUCUUAUAGUAUGGUUGAACAGUCGUCAAGACUAGAGGUCAUAGUGCUAGAUGUGCCUGUUGGGCACUAUGGUUCCUUUCAAUAGGCUGUUUCUGCUCAGCGCUGACACAGUUGUAAUAUUUUUAUGUCUGCUAUCUGAGACUCGGUUCUCAUACUGGUAAUAUGACUCAAUGAUUCAUGGAUUUUGUGAAGAAAACUAAGUGGGUUGCCCAGUUUAUCUCCUGAUUAUAGGUUCCCGUUCACAUGGAUCAAAUUUGAUGGAAUUGUAGUUACCGUGAUGACCUAGAAAGUGGAAGGUUUGUUGAUCAUGUAGGUGGCCUGGCUGCCACUUGCAAAGGGGCUAGAUUUGGAGUGGACUUCAACAUGCUGUUCUAGAAGUGGACUCACAAUAUAUAUAGGGUAAGACUUGAUUAAAUAAGAUGUCAAAUCUGUCAAUAUUGCCGUCAAGACUGCUGGUGGAGGAAGUGAAACCAGAAUGGCAUAGAGCCAGUAACAGAGCAUUUUCACAGAGUCAGAAAGAAAAGGGACUGGCACUCUCUCACAUCAGAAGCUCAAGACAACUGGCACAAAGAUCGGGAUGCGAGGGUGUUCGUUAAGAAUGAAGUUAACAUGCGUUUUCAUCCCACAACUUGCAAUUGUUCUUCAAAUUGUUUGGGCACAUAUGGUCUACUGAAACUGAGUGUGUGACUGACUACUGGUUUCGUAUAUUUACGCAUCCUGCUGUUUAUGGGUGGAUUACAGUUUGAUUGUUUUUGCCAAAUCUCGGUGGUUGAAUGUCUCUGCAGACUACUUGAGCAUGCUUGAUAUGUUGUUAUACAGUUUCAACAAUGAUUGAUGGCUGAUUGGGUUGAAAAUUUGGCGAGUCUGAGAAGUUGCAAAAUACUAGGAGAAGCUAUUAAUAGUAAAUAGAUCUUAACUUGUCUACCCAAGAACUUACUUGGAAAAGUAAAUGUAUGAUCCAAAUUCAACUCUUAUAUAAUUGAACCCAAUACUUAAAAUAAAAUCUCAAUCACACAAUGCCUUUUUUAUGG
This is a non-coding RNA of Camellia sinensis, 2423 nucleotides long. The record is from RefSeq and is a predicted model, not a curated record. Lineage: Eukaryota; Viridiplantae; Streptophyta; Magnoliopsida; Ericales; Theaceae.